GAGGAAUUUUUGCGCAAUGGGGGAAACCCUGACGCAGCAACGCCGCGUGAGUGAUGAAGGCCUUCGGGUCGUAAAGCUCUGUCAAGUGGGAAGAACCUGUACUGUGUUAAUACCGCAGUACACUGACGGUACC
RNAcentral lists this ribosomal RNA (133 nucleotides) under uncultured bacterium. Its description in RNAcentral is "partial 16S ribosomal RNA". It matches the Rfam family "Bacterial small subunit ribosomal RNA", at positions 356 to 479 of the family's 1533-position model. The record is from RNAcentral.